Molecule: ribosomal RNA, 1249 nt
Filed under: metagenome
Description: bacterial LSU rRNA
Rfam family: Bacterial large subunit ribosomal RNA
Source: RNAcentral
CGUAAGAGGUAGUGGAGGUCCGAACACACAUCCGUUGAAAAGGGUGGUGAUGAGGUGUGGAUAGGGGAGAAAUUCCAAUCGAACCCGGAGAUAGCUGGUUCUCCUCGAAAUAGCUUUAGGGCUAGCCCCGUAACAGUCUUGCGGAGGUAGAGCACUGAAUUUCCUAGGGGGCGUCAAAGCCUACCGAAGAAUAUCAAACUGCGAAUGCCGUACAGAUGAUUUACGGGAGUCAGACUGCACGAGAUAAGUUGGGUGGUCAAAAGGGAAAGAGCCCAGACCCGCAGCUAAGGUCCCAAAGUGCGUGUUAAGUGGAAAAGGAUGUGGGAUUUCGAAGACAACCAGGAUGUUGGCUCAGAAGCAGCCACACAUUAAAAGAGUGCGUAAUAGCUCACUGGUCGAGAGGUCCUGCGCCGAAAAUGUCCGGGGCUGAAACACGACACCGAAGCUCGGGAAUCAGAAAUGAUUGGUAGAGGAGCAUUGAAGACGGAACGAAGCCAUACCGGAAGGAGUGGUGGACUGUCUUGAAGAGAGAAUGCCGGAAUGAGUAGCGAGAGAGAAGUGGGAAUCUUCUCGGCCGAAUAUCCAAGGUUUCCAGGGUAAAGCUGAUCUGCCCUGGGUAAGUCGGGGCCUAAGGCGAGGUCGGAAGACGUAGCCGAUGGACAACAGGUUGAAAUUCCUGUACUGUGAUAUAUCAGAACUGUGGGGACACAGCGGGAAGGCAUGGGCCGGAAAAGGAAAAUCCGGUGCAAGCACCAGAGGAGUAUGGCAGGCAAAUCCGCCAUGCAAUCCGAAAGUGUGAAGCGGAGCGAACAAAAGUAGCGAAGCAUGCUUACCGGCUGUCGAGAAAAGCCGCUAUUGCGUAUAUCACACCCGUACCGUAAACCGACACAGGUGGAUGAGGAGAGAAUCCUAAGGCCGGCGGGAGAAGCAUUGUUAAGGAACUCGGCAAAAUGACCCCGUAACUUCGGGAGAAGGGGUGCUCUUGAAAAAGAGCCGCAGAGAAUUGGCCCAAGCAACUGUUUAGCAAAAACACAGGUCUAUGCAAAACCGAAAGGUGAGGUAUAUGGGCUGACGCCUGCCCGGUGCUGGAAGGUUAAGAGGAGAGGUUAUCGCAAGAGAAGCCUUGAAUUUAAGCCCCAGUAAACGGCGGCCGUAACUAUAACGGUCCUAAGGUAGCGAAAUUCCUUGUCGGGUAAGUUCCGACCCGCACGAAAGGCGUAAUGAUUUGGGCACUGUCUCGACAAUGCAC